GACGAACGCUGGCGGCGUGCUUAACACAUGCAAGUCGAACGGUAAGGCCCUUCGGGGUACACGAGUGGCGAACGGGUGAGUAACACGUGGGUGAUCUGCCCUGCACUUCGGGAUAAGCCUGGGAAACUGGGUCUAAUACCGGAUAGGACCACUGCCUGCAUGGGUGGUGGUGGAAAGCUUUUGCGGUGUGGGAUGGGCCCGCGGCCUAUCAGCUUGUUGGCGGGGUGAUGGCCUACCAAGGCGACGACGGGUAGCCGGCCUGGGAGGGUGACCGGCCACACUGGGACUGAGAUACGGCCCAGACUCCUACGGGAGGCAGCAGUGGGGAAUAUUGCACAAUGGGCGCAAGGCUGAUGCAGCGACGCCGCGUGAGGGAUGACGGCCUUCGGGUUGUAAACCUCUUUCAGCACCGACGAAGCGCAAGUGACGGUAGGUGCAGAAGAAGGACCGGCCAACUACGUGCCAGCCGCCGCCGUAA
This 478-nucleotide ribosomal RNA is filed under the name uncultured bacterium. RNAcentral's name for it is "partial 16S ribosomal RNA". It matches the Rfam family "Bacterial small subunit ribosomal RNA", at positions 28 to 523 of the family's 1533-position model. The record is from RNAcentral.